GCAGACACAUUCCAGCCAAUCAGCAGCAGACCCUCCCUCCCAGACCCUCCCACCUCGUGGACAGCAUCCAUUUUACAUUCAUUGUGAAGCUGCAUUCUUAGUGAGCUGCCCAGGAGGUGGGAGGGUCUGGGAGGGAGGGUCUGCUGCUGAUUGGCUGGAAUGUGUCUG
Molecule: microRNA precursor, 168 nt
Filed under: Pelobates cultripes (western spadefoot toad)
Lineage: Eukaryota; Metazoa; Chordata; Amphibia; Anura; Pelobatidae
Source: RNAcentral